AUUCCCUCUAUAAACCAAAAUCUUUACUAAACUCCGCCAACAACCACCACCGCCAACGCAGAGGAAGGCACCCCAUCAAUCAGCCGGAAUACGACGAACUUCUCGACUCGAAUCAUCCAAAAGUUGCGAAACAAGAGCAACGGCGCAGAACCCAUGGACUUGUCCUCGUGGUUACGACGCGGCCUUUCAAGCGCAAGCACAAAGACCAAAAACCCAAAUCUCCCAAACCAAUCACACCCAGACCCACAACAAGAAGAAGAAGAGGAACUAUUCGGAGUCACAGAGCAACUCAUUGAGUUCGUCAAGUCCUUCACUUUUGACACCUUCAAUAAUUUCCCUUUCCAAGAUGAUGAGGGAGCUGAUGUAACCCCAUCAACUUCAGGCAAUGUCCGGAAGGAUCUUUCCGAAUGGCAAGAGCAGCAUGCUCUUCUUGUGAUCACAAAAGUUAAGGAAAUUUCCCAACUUAGAUAUAUGCUAUGCCCUCGUCGCUUGAAGGAACGUCAGUUUUGGAGAAUAUAUUUUAAGCUUGUCAAGAGCUACGUGAUUGAAUAUGAGCUGCGUGCAGUUCAACUAGCGAAACUGAAAAGUAUGGCAAUGGAGAAUGAGAAAUCUUCAGACACCAGUGUAUAUGAAGUUGAAAUGGCGGAGGCAAAGUACACAGAGAGCUUAAUGCCUCCCACUCCAUAGAUUACAAUGCAUUUUCUCUUCAGCAAAAGUAGGAACGCAGCAGAUGAUCUGACCAUAACUAGAGUAGAGGGAAACUAGUGAAGAUUUUAAAUUGCAAAGCUUUUGGAUCCUGAAGGAAACCUCAAAGAUGGCUUUUAUGGGCUGGCUUGAUCACGUUUUGUAAGCUGUGAGGACCGGGCUUUGAACGCACUCUCCCAAUCUAUGAUUAAUGUGAGGUACUAGGCUUUCCAAUAUACGGUUGGAGUAUUGUUAUGAGUACUAUAACUUUUAUUACAAGUGCCUUACAAGCUAAUGUGACAAUUUACGUAACACAGAUACAUUGCAUGUACCGUAUGUACAAAAACCCCAUUCCUCAUAAUAAAAUGUGUCACGUCAGUUCGAGAGUAAGUCCAAAUAUUUUUCAUAUGGUUUUAAAACGUGCAUUCCAAUUAUAUUGGACUAUACUUAAACACAAAUAUUCUUCAAACUAUCACGUAUAUCUUGUUAGAAUUGUAAUUAAAUGAUUAAAUUCAUCACUUUGUAUUAGCUUAAGCUUUUGGGAUAAGUGGUGAUUUAAUAUGGUAUCAAAGUUAGAGGUCAUGAGCUCGAACCCUGACUUCACAAAUAUUCAACGUGUUAGGCCUCACUUGUUGAGGGAAGUUUGAAUCCACACGUGAGAAGAAGUGUUAAAAUAUUAAUUAAAUUAUUAAAUUCUUCAAUUUCUAUUAGCUUAAGCUUUUGAGAUAAAUGGUAUUUAAAUUUGGUAUCAAAUUCAAAGUCUUAAGUUUGAACAUUGUUUCCAUAUAAUAUUUCCGGUCUUGAGCUUUUAGGACAAGUAGUAUUUAAUAUUAAUCAUGAAAUGACUGAUAAGGUAUUUUCCGACUAUGAAGUAUGAACACAUCAUUGUGAGAGAAAAGAUAGGGAUUGAACUGUUAUUGCUGUAAAAUAAACAGAUCUAUUAGGUUUCAUUUGAUUUGUUCAUACUUAGAAACUGUUGUUUUACAAUGAGAAUAUGAGAUGCACAAAGUUAGAAUUUUCUUUUGCAGCAUGGCUGAGAGUGAAGAACAAGGGUUAGGCUUCUUUCUCAUUCCCAAAGGAAUAGGGAUGGGCCUAAGGCUCCUGGCCCCCACAAACGUAUUUAUUGAUAUUAAUAAUUUUUUUUUUUUUAUUUAUUUAUUUUUAUUUUAGUAAGAUGAGAAUUAGAGGAUUAUAAAUGGUGGGUCUUUUCUGCUGCGAAGCCUUGAGUCAAGGCGAGGAGGGGCAGGACAUUUUUCCUCUUAAAUACCAUGAGAGAAAGGUAAAUGCCAACUUCAACCCACCUCUUUUGUCCAUUUUCUCUUAA
Corylus avellana is the source of this 2008-nucleotide non-coding RNA. The record is from RefSeq and is a predicted model, not a curated record. NCBI's taxonomy places the organism in Eukaryota, Viridiplantae, Streptophyta, Magnoliopsida, Fagales, Betulaceae.